RNAcentral lists this long non-coding RNA (432 nucleotides) under Lathyrus oleraceus (garden pea). RNAcentral describes it as "Pisum sativum (pea) long non-coding RNA (PSAT_LNC036894)". Lineage: Eukaryota; Viridiplantae; Streptophyta; Magnoliopsida; Fabales; Fabaceae. The record is from RNAcentral.
UUUUCGGGCUUUUAUUGUAUUCAAUCCCUUGAUACCUCGAAAGCAUGAAAGCCGCUGCUAUCUUCUUUCCAGGUCUCCAGUUGAUUGAAUAGGGGCAGCUGUAAUACCCCAAAAUUUACCCUUCAUUUUUCCUUGAACAUACGCUUUACGCCUCAUGCAUGCAUUCAUUUUUAGGUCAUUUAGCAUUUGCACUUCAUCAUGGCAAUCGGAAUAUUUAAAAAAUAAUAAUAAUAAUAAUAAAAAAAACGAAAAAAAAAUGAAAAACGAAAAAAAUAUUAAAAUAAAAUAAAAACAAAAUAAAUAAAUUAAAAAAAAAAUCUUGGACUUGGACCUCUCUCAUUUGAGCCCACAGGUCCACAAAAAUCAGGUUAUAAAAUCAGAGUUUCAGUGAAACAAAAGGCAAUUCUAUUCCUAUUACCCUGACUGGAAAAA